RNAcentral lists this ribosomal RNA (203 nucleotides) under uncultured bacterium. RNAcentral describes it as "partial 16S ribosomal RNA". It matches the Rfam family "Bacterial small subunit ribosomal RNA", at positions 524 to 726 of the family's 1533-position model. The record is from RNAcentral.
GACGUAGGCGCGAGCGUUGUCCGGAUUUAUUGGGCGUAAAGAGCUCGUAGGCGGCUUGUUGCGUCGACCGUGAAAACCCGGGGCUCAACUUCGGGACUUGCGGUCGAUACGGGCGGGCUAGAGUUCGGUAGGGGAGACUGGAAUUCCUGGUGUAGCAGUGAAAUGCGCAGAUAUCAGGAGGAACACCGGUGGCGAAGGCGGGU